RNAcentral lists this small nuclear RNA (114 nucleotides) under Carlito syrichta (Philippine tarsier). Its description in RNAcentral is "U5 spliceosomal RNA (ENSTSYG00000036327.1)". It matches the Rfam family "U5 spliceosomal RNA". Rfam says of the family: U5 RNA is a component of both types of known spliceosome. Lineage: Eukaryota; Metazoa; Chordata; Mammalia; Primates; Tarsiidae. The record is from Rfam by way of RNAcentral.
AUGCUGUGGUUUCUUUUAAGAACAAAUAAAUCUUUCACAUUUUACUAAAAAUUUCCUUGGAAGAACAGUUAUCAAUCUUUAACUAAAUUUUUAAGGCCUUGAAUAUGUAGGGCU